This 325-nucleotide ribosomal RNA is filed under the name uncultured eukaryote. Its description in RNAcentral is "partial 18S ribosomal RNA". It matches the Rfam family "Eukaryotic small subunit ribosomal RNA", at positions 1470 to 1796 of the family's 1831-position model. The record is from RNAcentral.
CCCUUAGAUGUUCUGGGCCGCACACGCGCUACACUGAAGGAGGCAGCGUGUACUCCUGGAUCGAAAGAUUUGGGUAACCCGCGAAUCUCCUUCGUGCUAGGGAUUGAGGUUUGCAAUUAUCCUUCAUGAACGAGGAAUUCCCAGUAAGUGCAAGUCAUAAGCUUGCGCUGACUACGUCCCUGCCCUUUGUACACACCGCCCGUCGCACCUACCGAUUGAAUGGUCCGGUGAAAUCUUCGGAUCUGAGAGAUGUCUGAUUAAUUUCGGACGCCUUUUGGAAAAGUUGUUUAAACCUUACCAUUUAGAGGAAGGUGAAGUCGUANCA